RNAcentral lists this ribosomal RNA (389 nucleotides) under Lutjanus analis (mutton snapper). RNAcentral describes it as "partial 16S ribosomal RNA". It matches the Rfam family "Bacterial large subunit ribosomal RNA", at positions 1962 to 2502 of the family's 2925-position model. Lineage: Eukaryota; Metazoa; Chordata; Actinopteri; Lutjaniformes; Lutjanidae. The record is from RNAcentral.
CAAUCACUUGUCUUUUAAAUGGAGACCUGUAUGAAUGGNAUAACGAGGGCUUAGCUGUCUCCUCUUUCAAGUCAAUGAAAUUGAUCUCCCCGUGCAGAAGCGGGGAUAUUUACAUAAGACGAGAAGACCCUAUGGAGCUUUAGACACCAAGACAGACCAUGUUAAACACCCCAGAACAAAGGGCCAAACCAAAUGGCCCCUGUCCUAAUGUCUUUGGUUGGGGCGACCGCGGGGAAACACAAAACCCCCACGUGGAACGAGAGCACCUCCUCUCACAACCAAGAGCUCCCGCUCUAGUAAACAGAAAUUCUGACCAAUCAGAUCCGGCAAAGCCGAUCAACGGACCGAGUUACCCUAGGGAUAACAGCGCAAUCCCCUUUUAGAGGCCA